Harpia harpyja (harpy eagle) is the source of this 3276-nucleotide long non-coding RNA. RefSeq lists it as uncharacterized. NCBI's taxonomy places the organism in Eukaryota, Metazoa, Chordata, Aves, Accipitriformes, Accipitridae. The transcript is spliced from 3 exons. The record is from RefSeq and is a predicted model, not a curated record.
AAACCGGGGUGUGGGGGAGCUGCCCGAGGAGGGGCUGCGGCGGGGGCCUGGCAGCUGGCCCCUCGCGGCCGGGCAGCCUUCCCCGGGCCCAGGCCAUCCGCCCCUCGGUCUGUGCUGAAGCCCUGGCUUUUGUUGGAGCGGCUUUUGUGCCUGUUGGAUUACGAAGACGCGCAGGAGGCGUGCCGGCCUCGCAGCUCCUGAGGCACCAGAAAUGGCCUUGCCCAGCCACGGCCCCUCUGCUCCUGCCUGCCUGGAGAGGGAGAAGGAACCAGCGACCAGCCCGCAAACUGCACGAACUCGCCACCCGUCCCCAGCUGUCAAAUCAAUGGGCCCAUUUGCCAGCUACCGCACAUGCCACGGUACAUUCCAACAGCUACUUCUUACCGCCUUUCUAACUCCUAGUCUUGUUUUGAGGUUUGGCCUUUUUGCAGGGGCAUUUCUAUUUAAUUUUUCUCCUGUUUGUGCCACUGAGGGCAGUAGGAUGAGUGAUGAGGCAAUAAUAACUGAUGAGCAGUUAAAAAAUUUGGAGAGAAGAAGAAAGUAAUUUUGCUUGAGGAAGUUUUGAAAAGCUGUAGUAUAACAAAAAUAUAUAAAUGCUAAAAAGUCAGUCACUAGAUAUCAGUUGUUGUAUUAAACUUGUUGUAGUUAAAAAAGGAAAGGGAAAGCAAAUAUUUUGAGACAUCCAGAAAAAUCACAAAAAAACAAAUAAAAAAUUACAAAAAGGUGGAGUUGACCUCUUUGCCUGCUGUGUGCCAGGGAGCCAACAAACAUGGCAGCAAGAGAGAGAGUGUCCAAGAAUAUGCCAUGAGUAGCAAAUGGCGAGAGAGGAAACAAAUAGCCAUAGCUAUUUGUAGCUAUAGAGGUGUAGCUGUGUGUAUGAAUAUAUAGAGGCAGUAAGAAAACUGGUGUACUGAAAAGGAAGAUCUGGCAAGAAUGCAAAAGCCUGUUGCUAUACUUGGAGCUUCCAAAGGGAUCGUGAUUCAGGGUCCAUACAAAGGUUCGUGACAGCUGGAGUUGGACGGCUAGUCUCACUUCAUUAGGAAAAUGACAGAAGGUGUUCACAUUUCCACGAGAAAAGAGUUACCAACAAGCAUAACUGAGACCAGUAUUUCAGGGCAGGCUUCUCCAAAGCUCAGCAGAGUCCUGGUGAGUCCACAUCUGUCUACCACAUUGCUUUAAUCUGUGCAUGCCAUCCCCUCUUCACUUACGCUGCAGUGUUAUGCUCUUUAUGUUGCAGACAUGGCUUGGGCACCACGCUGACCUGUGACCCUGAACCCUGCUUUCUCUGAGAUUGUUCAUAUGUCAAAAUCUAGGUCUGCUAUGUUUUUAGUUUAGCAGUAGGAGCCCAUAUGGAAUGCUUUAAUGACCAUUGUAAAGAGUACUGUAAGAGAGUCAGUAAUUAGAUUGCUGUAACAUUCUCCUCAUCUACUUGGCUUCCCAUAUGCCGUAAUAUCAUUUAAUAAGAUGUUGUAAAUAAUCAGGAAGCUGACCAGCAAUUAUACUGAAACGGAACAUGCCCAUGUCCUCUCCUCUCACACCCACACAAGGCCAUCAGUUAAUAAGGAAGAAUUACCCAAAUUUAGGAUACAUGGGUCAAAGAAACUGGUACAGCUCAAACCUUUUUUUAAUUCCUGUAGGUGGGGUGGGUUAUCAUUUUACAGGGAUUGGUCUUAAUCCAAUGGAAUUUAGAUAGGAAGGAAGGGAGGACAAGGAGUUUAAUGUCUCGCAUUGAAUGGACUUCAGGAAUUACCAAAACUGCAUGUUAGCUGGUUGCCCCUGUGAUGUCAUAGUUUUCUUGAUUAAAAGUACUCAGUCCCCUCCUGAGUGGAAUAAACAGGUUAUCAAUUAUCAGUACCACCCUUAUGAAUAAAAUUUAAUCAGCAUUGAACAUAAACUGUGUCAAGAGCUUUGACUGACUUACGGGAGGGGAGUUAUGGCUUUUUUGGCUUCUUUCUUGGUAUGUAAACAAUGUCUAGAUCAAUUUGUGAUCCUUUUAACAUUUCUUCACCACGAGACCUAAUCUGUUCAAGGGUACUGUACCAUUGGUCAGUUUGCUGCUGUCUUCCCCUUAUAGGAUGGCAUAUUCUUGAUCCUGCCCUUGUCCAGGGAUAGCUUUUCUUCCUACUGUACCAGGCUGAAAACUGAGUUCCUCUUGGGGGCCAAAAGCCAUAAGACAUGGACAAUAUACCUCAUGAGAGUGGGAGGGCAUGGUUUCCUCCCAGUCGGAAAGUAAUAACGGUUCUUCAGGCCUUCUACUGCUCCCUUAUGAAUAGGGUUGGGUGUAUAGUUUUGUCCUAUGGGACCCAGCAGCCACUGUUGCCUUAAUUGGCUUUAAAUACAGGGACUGUGAUGAAUAAUGGCCCUGUGGCAGCCCAGUCCUGCUGCUGGACACAUCAGGCACAGACCAGCAGCUGGACCACACAAGAGUUCACGUUGCUAGCUCUUCCCCAGACUCUUUCUCAUAAACCAGUGUGCUCUACACUGCUGUUCCCAGGCUUUUCUAUUGUAUUACCAUACAUCAGCAUCCAAGAGGAACAGGGAUAGUUCCUAAAUUUAGGGCUGUCCAUCUGGCAGCAUAAUAAAGUUUAAGAUUAAUGGGAAGUGACUGAUAAAGGUACCCAAUGAAGCCAUAAAUGGUGUGUUACAGGAGAACAUUUUGUUCCUGCUUAUGCUUUUGAGGAGAGUACUAUGUCUUCAAAGUAGGGAGGACUCUGGGUUUUUUGGUGGUUUUUUUUUAGGCUUCCAGGCAUUGUUCGUGACUCACCCAAUUCUUUCACGGCUCAGCUUCCGGUCUGCACACGUGGAAGGACCUGUCCCCAAAUCUGUUUACUUACCAUAAAUGCUCCGUCUUCUGAGGGGAGAAGUAACUCUGAAUCUCCGGCAUGCAGCUUCAUACCACCCCAGAACUGGGUGACAAGAUGAGGAAAGGCUAAACGGAAAGCUGCUGCUUGUUGCCUGUUCUGAGAUCCAGUCAGCAACACCAAAGCCAACAGAAGCAUUCACUGUCCAGUUACCUACAUAAACAAGUUUGUUCCUUGUGAUGAAAAACAAUACAAAGGAAAAGACUGAUGCUGGGAUUUGGAACGUGCUGCGAGCCUGACUGAGACCUGCUGGACACUGCUCCUUUCCCCAGGCACCAAACAUGGCCUUCACAUAAGGAUGGAGACAUGAAGGUCUGUGCUAUGUCUCAUCACCUCUUUUCUUUUCAAAGAUCAAUUGUAUUUGAUGUUUGUCAAAUCAUAUCCCAAGACAGUAAGCAUAAACGUAUUAACUUUA